RNAcentral lists this long non-coding RNA (768 nucleotides) under Mytilus galloprovincialis (Mediterranean mussel). The record is from RNAcentral. Lineage: Eukaryota; Metazoa; Mollusca; Bivalvia; Mytilida; Mytilidae.
GCGGCGAGGUUAAACAUGUUUGUGAGAUCUCAACCCUCCCUCUAUACCUCUAGCCAAUGUAGAAAAGUAAACGCAUAACAAUACGCAAUGCAUGUUACCUAAAGAACACUGAGGCAUGAUGAUUAAUUUAUUGUGGAAGGAAGAGAAGCGACACACAAAAUGAGGUCUUCUCGUUUAAUAGUAUAGAUAAAAAUCAUGACACACAUGCUUAAAUUUGUUUACCCUGUACUAUACAUAAAAAAAAUGGUGAUUUCUUAACUAUCAAUGUGCCAAUGAGACGUCAAUUUUUCAAGUAAAUUGCAAUCGGGUGAAGUGUCGCAGAUUCCGAAAUAGUGAUUAGAUUUAUUCAGUGGAUGUCGCCAACUGUCAUGAUUGACACAAUGAAACACACCUUCUUUGGACUAGACUGACACGCUAUAUAUCAAAAAGAAGAUGUGAUAUGAUUGCCAAUGAGACAACUCUUCACAAGAGACAAAAUGACACAGAAAUUAACAACUAUAGGUCACCGUACGAUCUUCAACAAUGAGCAAAGCCCAUACCGUAUAGUCAGCUAUAACAGGCCCCGAAAUGACAAUGUAAAACAAUUCAAACGAGAAAACUAACGGCUUUAUUCAUAUAUAAACAACAUGAAAGAGAUCACGCUAAGCCGGAUUUUCAACGUGUUAGUUCACAUGGUAACUGUCCACAGAAAGACAUAUCACCUUACCCGGACACAUUAUUGAUGUUAUUUUAACACCGAGCCGACUAGUAUUUGCGCUUACUCUUUAA